GAUGAACGCUGGCGGCGUGCCUAAUACAUGCAAGUCGAGCGAACGGAUGAGAAGCUUGCUUCUCUGCUGUUAGCGGCGGACGGGUGAGUAACACGUGGAUAACCUACUUAUAAGACUGGGAUAACUUCGGGAAACCGGAGCUAAUACCGGAUAAUAUUUUGAACCGCUUGGUUCAAAAGUGAAAGACGGUCUUGCUGUCACUUAUAGAUGGAUCCGCGCUGCAUUAGCUAGUUGGUAAGGUAACGGCUUACCAAGGCAACGAUGCAUAGCCGACCUGAGAGGGUGAUCAGCCACACUGGAACUGAGACACGGUCCAGACUCCUACGGGAGGCAGCAGUAGGGAAUCUUCCGCAAUGGGCGAAAGCCUGACGGAGCAACGCCGCGUGAGUGAUGAAGGUCUUCGGAUCGUAAAACUCUGUUAUUAGGGAAGAACAUAUGUGUAAGUAACUGUGCACAUCUUGACGGUACCUAAUCAGAAAGCCACGGCUAACUACGUG
RNAcentral lists this ribosomal RNA (497 nucleotides) under uncultured bacterium. RNAcentral describes it as "partial 16S ribosomal RNA". It matches the Rfam family "Bacterial small subunit ribosomal RNA", at positions 28 to 507 of the family's 1533-position model. The record is from RNAcentral.